AUUUAAAUAGUUUAAUAAAAACAUUGAUUUGUGGAAUCAAAAAUAUUUAUAUU
Molecule: transfer RNA, 53 nt
Filed under: Tessmannella kiplingi
Lineage: Eukaryota; Metazoa; Arthropoda; Insecta; Hymenoptera; Liopteridae
Description: tRNA-His
Source: RNAcentral